CAGUAGCGGUACAGAGGGUAGCCAACCCGCGAGGGGGAGCCAAUCCCACAAAGCCGGUCGUAGUCCGGAUCGCAGUCUGCAACUCGACUGCGUGAAGUCGGAAUCGCUAGUAAUCGCGGAUCAGCAUGUCGCGGUGAAUACGUUCCCGGGCCUU
This 154-nucleotide ribosomal RNA is filed under the name uncultured Tepidiphilus sp. RNAcentral's name for it is "partial 16S ribosomal RNA". It matches the Rfam family "Bacterial small subunit ribosomal RNA", at positions 1228 to 1382 of the family's 1533-position model. The record is from RNAcentral. Lineage: Bacteria; Pseudomonadati; Pseudomonadota; Hydrogenophilia; Hydrogenophilales; Hydrogenophilaceae.